Small nucleolar RNA from Cyprinus carpio carpio, 135 nucleotides. NCBI's taxonomy places the organism in Eukaryota, Metazoa, Chordata, Actinopteri, Cypriniformes, Cyprinidae. The record is from Ensembl.
AGGAGGAUUGAGAAAGUUAAGCAGCUGCAUUUGUUCUGCAUUAACUGGUUAUAACCUCCUAGAGAAAAAAACAAGUGCUUAAGUGCUUUUUAAUUUUCUGUAUGAAGUAGUCAUUGCAAUGCUUGUGUACAUUUC